Molecule: ribosomal RNA, 498 nt
Filed under: uncultured bacterium
Lineage: Bacteria
Description: partial 16S ribosomal RNA
Rfam family: Bacterial small subunit ribosomal RNA
Source: RNAcentral
GACGAACGCUGGCGGCGUGCCUAAUACAUGCAAGUCGAGCGGACGAAUCGAAAGCUUGCUUUUGAUUCGUUAGCGGCGGACGGGUGAGUAACACGUGUGCAACCUGCCCUGUAGACGGGGAUAACACCGAGAAAUCGGUGCUAAUACCGGAUAACACGAAAUGUCGCAUGACGUUUCGUUGAAAGACGGCGCAAGCUGUCGCUACAGGAUGUGCCCGCGGCGCAUUAGCUGGUUGGUGAGGUAACGGCUCACCAAGGCGGCGAGGCGUAGCCGACGUGAGGGGGUGAUCGGCCACACGGGGACUGAGACACGGCCCAGACUCCUACGGGAGGCAGCAGUAGGGAAUCUUCCGCAAUGGACGAAAGUCUGACGGAGCAACGCCGCGUGAGCGAAGAAGGCCUUCGGGUCGUAAAGCUCUGUUGUUAGGGAAGAACAAGUAACGCAGUAACUGGCGUUACCGUGACGGUACCUAACGAGAAAGCCACGGCUAACUACGUG